RNAcentral lists this ribosomal RNA (1345 nucleotides) under uncultured bacterium. Its description in RNAcentral is "partial 16S ribosomal RNA". It matches the Rfam family "Bacterial small subunit ribosomal RNA", at positions 28 to 1381 of the family's 1533-position model. The record is from RNAcentral.
GACGAACCUUUGCGGCGUGCUUAACACAUGCAAGUCGAACGGAAAGGCCCUGCUUUUGUGGGGUGCUCGAGUGGCGAACGGGUGAGUAACACGUGAGUAACCUGCCCUUGACUUUGGGAUAACUUCAGGAAACUGGGGCUAAUACCGGAUAGGAGCUCCUGCUGCAUGGUGGGGGUUGGAAAGUUUCGGCGGUUGGGGAUGGACUCGCGGCUUACCAGCUUGUUGGUGGGGUAGUGGCUUACCAAGGCUUUGACGGGUAGCCGGCCUGAGAGGGUGACCGGCCACAUUGGGACUGAGAUACGGCCCAGACUCCUACGGGAGGCAGCAGUGGGGAAUAUUGCACAAUGGGCGGAAGCCUGAUGCAGCAACGCCGCGUGCGGGAUGACGGCCUUCGGGUUGUAAACCGCUUUCGCCUGUGACGAAGCGUGAGUGACGGUAAUGGGUAAAGAAGCACCGGCUAACUACGUGCCAGCAGCCGCGGUGAUACGUAGGGUGCGAGCGUUGUCCGGAUUUAUUGGGCGUAAAGGGCUCGUAGGUGGUUGAUCGCGUCGGAAGUGUAUCUUGGGGCUUAACCCUGAGCGUGCUUUCGAUACGGGUUGACUUGAGGAAGGUAGGGGAGAAUGGAAUUCCUGGUGGAGCGGUGGAAUGCGCAGAUAUCAGGAGGAACACCAGUGGCGAAGGCGGUUCUCUGGGCCUUUCCUGACGCUGAGGAGCGAAAGCGUGGGGAGCGAACAGGCUUAGAUACCCUGGUAGUCCACGCUGUAAACGGUGGGUACUAGGUGUGGGGUCCAUUCCACGGGUUCCGUGCCGUAGCUAACGCUUUAAGUACCCCGCCUGGGGAGUACGGCCGCAAGGCUAAAACUCAAAGGAAUUGACGGGGCCCCGCACAAGCGGCGGAGCAUGCGGAUUAAUUCGAUGCAACGCGUAGAACCUUACCUGGGUUUGACAUGGAUCGGGAGUGCUCAGAGAUGGGUGUGCCUCUUUUGGGGUCGGUUCACAGGUGGUGCAUGGCUGUCGUCAGCUCGUGUCGUGAGAUGUUGGGUUAAGUCCCGCAACGAGCGCAACCCUUGUUCACUGUUGCCAGCACGUUAUGGUGGGGACUCAGUGGAGACCGCCGGGGUCAACUCGGAGGAAGGUGGGGAUGACGUCAAGUCAUCAUGCCCCUUAUGUCCAGGGCUUCACGCAUGCUACAAUGGCUGGUACAGAGAGUGGCGAGCCUGUGAGGGUGAGCGAAUCUCGGAAAGCCGGUCUCAGUUCGGAUUGGGGUCUGCAACUCGACCUCAUGAAGUCGGAGUCGCUAGUAAUCGCAGAUCAGCAACGCUGCGGUGAAUACGUUCCCGGGGCU